Arachis duranensis is the source of this 427-nucleotide long non-coding RNA. RefSeq lists it as uncharacterized. The record is from RefSeq and is a predicted model, not a curated record. The transcript has 4 exons. Lineage: Eukaryota; Viridiplantae; Streptophyta; Magnoliopsida; Fabales; Fabaceae.
GUUGCUACCACAAUUUCUGCCGUCGAUGCCACCGUAGGUGCCGUAGUAUAACACAUUUUCAUAUCUGUUCACUCCCGAGCUUCUUCUUCAAUGCCGCUUUCUCUCACUCCAAUUCCUUUGAACUGCCGCGCCGCUGGCUGAAGAGUGUUAUCUAUCACUUUAGAGGAAAUAGAGAAUGACCUCGGCUAAGAAUCGGGAUUGGAAGGCUUCCUGGGCAAAUGGAUCCUAAAGCAUUCUUGCUUCAAAAAUUCAAUGUAACAGCUAGACAACAAAUAGCAAAUCUUUUGGAUUGCACUUCAUGGUCAGGGGCUGGACCAGGGUUAAUGAAUGCAGUUACUCAAGGUGCUUUGCAAGCAGGAAAACCAGUUGGCAGAUUCAAGAUUGGAAAAGAAGUUGGGGAAUGGACUGCAUCCAACUACCAUCCGUA